RNAcentral lists this ribosomal RNA (426 nucleotides) under uncultured bacterium. RNAcentral's name for it is "bacterial SSU rRNA". It matches the Rfam family "Bacterial small subunit ribosomal RNA", at positions 355 to 776 of the family's 1533-position model. The record is from RNAcentral.
UCGAGAAUCUUCGGCAAUGCGCGCAAGCGUGACCGAGCGACGCCGUGUGUGGGAUGAAGGCCUUCGGGUUGUAAACCACUGUCGUAGAGGAGGAAGUUGAUUGGGGUUCUCCCCAGUCAUUGACCUAUUCUAGGAGGAAGGACGGGCUAAGUUCGUGCCAGCAGCCGCGGUAAUACGAACCGUCCAAACGUUAUUCGGAAUUACUGGGCUUAAAGGGUACGUAGGCGGCGCUGUUAGUCGGGUGUGAAAGCCCUCGGCUCAACCGAGGAAUUGCGCCCGAUACUGCAGUGCUUGAGGGAGACAGAGGUAAGCGGAACUGAUGGUGGAGCGGUGAAAUGCGUUGAUAUCAUCAGGAACACCAGUGGCGAAAGCGGCUUACUGGGUCUCUUCUGACGCUGAGGUACGAAAGCUAGGGGAGCGAAGGGG